AGGGGUAUAGCUCAGUGGUGGGGCACAUGCUCAGCAUGCAUGAGGUCCUGGGUUCAAUCCCCAGUAUCUCCA
Molecule: transfer RNA, 72 nt
Filed under: Camelus bactrianus (Bactrian camel)
Lineage: Eukaryota; Metazoa; Chordata; Mammalia; Artiodactyla; Camelidae
Also listed under: 2 other names
Rfam family: tRNA
About the family: Transfer RNA (tRNA) molecules are approximately 80 nucleotides in length.
Source: Rfam by way of RNAcentral